UCUUCAGAGGCUCAUUUUAAGGAUAAGGUUGAAGACCUCAUCCUGCUGUUGAAUUGGGUUGAUGGGUACCCCUACGUGGACCAACUGGAAAGUGGAGCAGUCUGUCGGCACAGCGCAAGUCUCGGACCCUGAGAGCUCGGUUCCCAGUACUUCGUGAUCAUUUACUGGCGACACAGAUCAUUUACCGGGCACCUUAGGUAGGGUGACAAUACGUUGCUCCAGCUCAUCCAGGGCUUAAAAUAGAAUUAGAAGUCAAGUAGCUGAAUUCUGCAGCAGUAGGCGUCUAGCACAGCACCUGGCCCUGUGGAUUAAGAGCACACAUUUGAAGACACGCAACCUCUUUCGACCGCCUGCAGGCUGUGGAACCUCAGGGUCAUCGGUGAGCCUCCGGGUCCUCAUCUGCAAAAUGAGCAUACAGGGGGCUGUUGUGAAGAUAAUGGGGUAACCCAGGAACAACGCACUGAGUGUGGUGCACACGGAGAAACACGCAUGUGCAGAGCUAAAAUCUGACCCAGGAAUUGGCAGCACAGACCUGAAAAGUGAGGGUUGAGAGAUGGGCUGAAUCCAUGGGAACAUUUGUCUGGAGACCGUUGGGGUGUCACACCUGGAAGAGCGAGGCUGCUAGUGACAUCUAGUGGGCAGAGACCAAGAUGCCGCUCACCUCCUGCAGGGCUCCGACGGCCCCACCCCCCAGCACACAGACAAAGACUGAUGCAGCCCCAAACGCAUUAGUGCUGAGUUUACAGAACCUUACCUGGGAGUUCCGAGACUUCUCGGCAUCCCAGUCCCUCAGGCAGACGUUUUCCAUUUGUCGUGGAUAUUUCUACCAUCCUAUGUAGUACAUAGUACAGAACCCCAGGCCAGCUCUGACCAGCCUGGGCAUCUUGGGGGUCUACCUGCUGGAUAUCUCUCAGUGGAGCCAAAAGACUACAUCAGCCUCCUUAGCAAUCCUUUGCUCAUACAGUUGGUACAUUUUUGAACAAAGCACUUAUCAACUCAACCAUGCAUACAAUUAAAUUCAAGACACAUACUACCUAGAAAAGCUAGUAUUAUAUUUUCACACACACACACACACACACACACACACAGAUAUUGGGUAAAAUGAACAUUCCUAUCAGAUGGAUUCAGUUUUAAAUAAUUACUAUUCUAUAACUAUGUUUUUCUUAACCAUUCCCGUCCACAAAGAAAUGGCGAAGCCCGGCUGGAGCUCUCUAGAGCAGACGGAACAAAGAGGAAAAAAAAGGAUGCUUGUCAAGUAAAAUAUGAAAGGCGUGCUCCAAGCUCCCCUAAUUACAUCUUGGAAGGGAAGCUUUGUCCUAUUGACAUUCAGGAUCAUUUUUCAUUAGCUCAGGUUACCCCCUUGAAGAUUUUUAGGAAGUUUCAUGAUAUGGAGACGUUGUUGAAAAAUUGGCUGCUUGACGUCUGCUAAGCAAUGAGAUUCAGAGAUCAAAUCCAUUCCUGCCCACUUCGCUUUGAGCAGCGCCAGUUAUCUUGGGCAAAAUGAGUUGGCAACUUUAACUUGGACUUUUAAGAAGGCAGAUGGUUUACCCUGCUCUUUUGUGUGUGGUUUUUUUACAAAGGAUCUCUGAGGAAUCUUGGCUGAAGGUGUGGAUCAACUCUUAUAUCUGACAUAUUCUGUGUUCAUAAACAUCAGAGUAUUUAGGGGACAACAGAUACAGUUUUCAUCUUCAUAAACUAGAGGCGGAGGAAAUAAAAUCGCUUUCACCAGACCCUUAGGUCUUUCCUUUAGAAUAUAAAAAUUCUAAAGUAAAUUGUGGGUUCUUCUUGCCCUGCCCUGAAUUUCAAGUGUUUGACUGCUUAAACUAUCA
Zalophus californianus (California sea lion) is the source of this 1829-nucleotide long non-coding RNA. RefSeq lists it as uncharacterized. The record is from RefSeq and is a predicted model, not a curated record. The transcript has 4 exons. NCBI's taxonomy places the organism in Eukaryota, Metazoa, Chordata, Mammalia, Carnivora, Otariidae.